This is a long non-coding RNA of Bactrocera neohumeralis, 1669 nucleotides long. RefSeq lists it as uncharacterized. The record is from RefSeq and is a predicted model, not a curated record. The transcript has 2 exons. Lineage: Eukaryota; Metazoa; Arthropoda; Insecta; Diptera; Tephritidae.
AGGAAAAAAAGGACCUGCCUACUACGAGAUAAUUCGUAGCGUUCUUUCCCAGACGCCAACUUCGAGAUAACUCGUAGGUCCUUUUUCUCCUUAAAAAACAUCAUUUUUGAUUUUUGACGAUACCAAUGAUCUAGAAAUAGAGUUUUUUAGUAAUAUAAUGUGAAAAAAUCAAAAUGUCAUUUUUGGACAGUUUUCAGAAAAUGGCCUUGGCAGUCAACGUGUUAAUAUACGUUGGGACAAAAGAAUCCUAAAGCGCCAACCGAAGAAAGUACCGGUAAUAUUAAAGAUGAAGAAAAUAUUAAAUAUUAUUAUUGUUUGUUACAAGUUGUAUAGCGGCAGCGCCGGAAUUACCGGAAAUAUUAAAAAAAAAAAAUAUUAAAAUUAUGGAACAAAACAGUUCUACAGCGACAGCCGAAGAAAUUACCGGCAAAUAUUAUUUUAGAAAAAUAUUUUUCUCCAAAUUAAAAAGAGUUUAAAAAACCGACAAAUGAAUUUUGCAAUUAUUUAAUGCUAAGUCAUACUCUGAAUAUGAAAUUCAUUUACAAAGUAACAGUAAAAAAAAGGAAAUGAAAAUGGAAAGUAGUUGAAAAAACUUCAUUCAGAAAUACAGGGUUGUUAUUUUGAACAGAUAAAAGGGUUUAAAUUCGUACAACGACACACUCCCCGGUUUGCUGUAAACAAUAUCCAUCCAUUGGUUACAAAUUCGUUGAUGAAAAAAUUGAAAAAACCUUUUGGAUUUGUCAACAUGAAAAUAUCAGUAUAAAAAUUAGAAUUUUAUAAAGAAGAAUUAGAGUUUUAGGUUUAUAUUGUGGUAAGAAACACAAUAAAAGCUGUUGCCAAGAAAAUGGAAACAAUUUUUGAAUUUAAAAACCAAAAAACAAUAGAACUCUGAAGCUUUUUAGGCAUGAUUGGCUGCUAUCGAAAAGUUUUCAAGAUUAUGCAGCAGUUGCAAAACCCUUAACAACCUUGUUACCUAGCGAAAAUGGCCAUGUUUCACAACACAUGUCAAAGAAAAUUUAAAUAUAUUUUAAGAAAGAUGCACUUUCAGCAUUUGAAAAGCUAAAGAAGUUGCUUAUAAACUAAACUUAGUUAGUUAAACCAGAUUUCAAAAAAAAAAUGUGUUGUAACAACUGAUGUGUCAAAUAUCACAAAAUGAUAAACCUUUUACUUUUAUUUCUAAAUCAGAGUCGAAUGUUGUUAUUUAUAAAUACACAAACCAUUUUUAAUAGUUUCAUUUCAGUUUUGCUAUUUUAUAAAUAUAAUUAUUAUUAAAAAGUCAGAUGCGUACAAAACUAUAUAUGCGUAUUGAGAAAUGGCAACAUUGUUCAAAUUGUUGCCAGUACGGGUUCAACUGUUGAUAAAUUUUGUUCACAUUCGCUUGUUGUACUUUUAGAAUUUUAUAUCGAUCAUCAACAUUUAUAUUUUGCUGUGUCAUCCAAAAAUCCCAAUGUAAAAACGAAAAAGUGGCAUGCUAUAAUCGAAGAAUUCGCAACAAAAAUAGUUUACAAGCUUGGAAGCUGAAGGAAGAAGGCAGUCGAGUGAAGUGCGCACAUAGAUUUUGUCUUGGCACUUACCGGAAGUCCAGAGGAUUCAAGUGGAUAAUAAAUAUAGUUGAGAAAUAGCUAAGUACAAUUUGUUUUAAAUAAAAAUUCAUUUGUACAUACCUGUA